AUACAGAGGGUGCAAGCGUUAAUCGGAAUUACUGGGCGUAAAGCGCGCGUAGGCGGUUUAAUCAGUCGGAUGUGAAAGCCCCGGGCUCAACCUGGGAACUGCAUUCGAUACUGUUAAGCUAGAGUAUGGUAGAGGGAAGUGGAAUUCCAGGUGUAGCGGUGAAAUGCGUAGAUAUCUGGAGGAACAUCAGUGGCGAAGGCGACUUCCUGGACCAAUACUGACGCUGAGGUGCGAAAGCGUGGGGAGCAAACAGGAUUAGAUACCCUAGUAGUCC
Molecule: ribosomal RNA, 274 nt
Filed under: uncultured bacterium
Lineage: Bacteria
Description: partial 16S ribosomal RNA
Rfam family: Bacterial small subunit ribosomal RNA
Source: RNAcentral